GACAGAGGGUGCAAACGUUGUUCGGAAUUACUGGGCGUAAAGCGAGUGUAGGCGGUUUGGAUAGUCGGAUGUGAAAGCCCCGGGCUCAACCCGGGAAGUGCAUUCGAUACUCCCAAGCUAGAGUAUCGGAGAGGUUGGUGGAAUUCUCGGUGUAGAGGUGAAAUUCGUAGAUAUCGAGAGGAACACCGGUGGCGAAGGCGGCCAACUGGACGAAUACUGACGCUGAGACUCGAAAGCGUGGGGAGCGAACAGG
RNAcentral lists this ribosomal RNA (253 nucleotides) under uncultured bacterium. RNAcentral describes it as "partial 16S ribosomal RNA". It matches the Rfam family "Bacterial small subunit ribosomal RNA", at positions 524 to 776 of the family's 1533-position model. The record is from RNAcentral.